AUACGGAGGAUCCGAGCGUUAUCCGGAUUUAUUGGGUUUAAAGGGAGCGUAGGCGGACGCUUAAGUCAGUUGUGAAAGUUUGCGGCUCAACCGUAAAAUUGCAGUUGAUACUGGGUGUCUUGAGUACAGUAGAGGCAGGCGGGAUUCGUGGUGUAGCGGGGAAAUGCUUAGAUAUCACGAAGAACUCCGAUUGCGAAGGCAGCCUGCUGGACUGUAACUGACGCUGAUGCUCGAAAGUGUGGGUAUCAAACAGGAUUAGAUACCCUGGUAGUCCACACAGUAAACGAUGAAUACUCGCUGUUUGCGAUAUACAGUAAGCGGCCAAGCGAAAGCGUUAAGUAUUCCACCUGGGGAGUACGCCGGCAACGGUGAAACUCAAAUGAAUUGGCGGGG
This 393-nucleotide ribosomal RNA is filed under the name uncultured bacterium. RNAcentral's name for it is "partial 16S ribosomal RNA". It matches the Rfam family "Bacterial small subunit ribosomal RNA", at positions 523 to 918 of the family's 1533-position model. The record is from RNAcentral.